CUACUAGUGAGUUGUUCUGUUUCCCAUAGAAGCUGCAUCUUUCUAGAAGCUGCUACAUCAGAUUAACCUGGGAAUGAAUCUCAUAACUUCUAUUCUGAUGAGCACUAUCUGCCAACCUUAUUUAAUAUGGUUGAUCCAACCGGAGUCGCGAAUUGGUCAGUGACACGUGUUGAUUGCUCUGAAGGAAAAUGACAUCCUAAAGUUUAUAGGGCUGUUGACACAAGCUUUGAACUGCUUAAAAGUAUAGCGGUGAGCUGAGCAUGCGUUGGAUGUAAAUUAUUAUUGCAUGUCUAAGCAUGCGUUGGAUGUA
This is a non-coding RNA of Aegilops tauschii subsp. strangulata, 310 nucleotides long. The record is from RefSeq and is a predicted model, not a curated record. Lineage: Eukaryota; Viridiplantae; Streptophyta; Magnoliopsida; Poales; Poaceae.